CUGAAGGAAGGAACCAGCAGCAGUGUGCUCUGUCUUUGAGGCAUUAAUCAGACCUCAGGCCUCAGAAAGAAGUGCCAGCAGAUUUACUUCCCUCUGUCAUAACCAGGCCAGGACUUUUUUGAUGAUCAUUGCAAGAUAAUGUCUGUAUUCUUCACUUAAAGUGGACUGAGUAGGUA
RNAcentral lists this long non-coding RNA (176 nucleotides) under Numida meleagris (helmeted guineafowl). Its description in RNAcentral is "lncRNA (ENSNMEG00000020711.1)". Lineage: Eukaryota; Metazoa; Chordata; Aves; Galliformes; Numididae. The record is from RNAcentral.